UACGGGGGGGGCAAGCGUUGUUCGGAAUUACUGGGCGUAAAGGGCUCGUAGGUGGCCAACUAAGUCAUGCGUGAAAUCCCUCGGCUUAACCGGGGAACUGCGUCUGAUACUGGAUGGCUUGAGUUUGGGAGAGGGAUGCGGAAUUCCAGGUGUAGCGGUGAAAUGCGUAGAUAUCGGAAGGAACAUCAGUGGCGAAAGCGACUUCCUGGACCAAUACUGACGCUCAUGUGCGAAAGCGUGGGGAGCAAACAGG
RNAcentral lists this ribosomal RNA (253 nucleotides) under uncultured bacterium. RNAcentral's name for it is "partial 16S ribosomal RNA". It matches the Rfam family "Bacterial small subunit ribosomal RNA", at positions 524 to 776 of the family's 1533-position model. The record is from RNAcentral.